GUUAUCACCAUUUGUAAAAUAAGAAACUGUAAUUACAUUAAGUGUUUGGAAAUUCCAAGAGGUCCUAAUAGAGUCAAGUAACACACAUCUGCAGCUUCAUUUCCAGCCAGUUAGGGAGUGUGAGGUCUUUGAAACGCCACUAUCAGCUCUAUUUGGUAGAUCAUGGUAGAAUUCUACAUGUUUGUCCAAGCUGAACUGGACUUUCUCAACUACAUCCUGGUCAACUCAGCUGUGCUCAGACUGGAGAUGGACGCUUUCCAAGGUUUUAUGGCCUCGCAAAGAUUCAGAGCCAUGAAUGCCUGUAGCCUUGCAAAGCGACUCAGUGAAGGUUCACGUGAGAAGAAGAGCACUGAAAUUUGGCUGGUUUGAGAUGACCUGCUCCUUGUCUCGGAAGGGGAAAAGAGCGGAUGACAGCUGCACAGAGUUUUUAGUUAUUAAAUGGUGUUUAAAAAAAU
Molecule: long non-coding RNA, 455 nt
Organism: Archocentrus centrarchus (flier cichlid)
Lineage: Eukaryota; Metazoa; Chordata; Actinopteri; Cichliformes; Cichlidae
Exons: 2
Source: RefSeq, a predicted model, not a curated record